AUUGAACGCUGGCGGCACGCCUAACACAUGCAAGUCGAGCGGUAACAUGGUGUGUAGCAAUACACACUGAUGACGAGCGGCGGACGGGUGAGGAAGACGUAGGAAUCUACCUUUUAGAGGGGGACAACCAAGGGAAACUUUGGCUAAUACCGCAUACACUCGAAAGAGGAAAGCUGCCCGCAAGGGUGGCACUAGAAGAGGAGCCUGCGUCCGAUUAGCUAGUUGGUAGGGUAAAAGCCUACCAAGGCGAAGAUCGGUAACUGGUCUGAGAGGACGGCCAGUCACACUGGGACUGAGACACGGCCCAGACUCCUACGGGAGGCAGCAGUGGGGAAUAUUGGACAAUGGGGGCAACCCUGAUCCAGCGAUGCCGCGUGAGUGAAGAAGGCCUUCGGGUCGUAAAGCUCUUUAGGUUGGGAAGAAGGUUGGUUGUUUAAGAGAUGACUAACGUGACGGUACCGACAGAAUAAGCACCGGCAAACUCUGUGC
RNAcentral lists this ribosomal RNA (489 nucleotides) under uncultured bacterium. Its description in RNAcentral is "bacterial SSU rRNA". It matches the Rfam family "Bacterial small subunit ribosomal RNA", at positions 29 to 508 of the family's 1533-position model. The record is from RNAcentral.